Molecule: small nucleolar RNA, 136 nt
Organism: Achroia grisella
Lineage: Eukaryota; Metazoa; Arthropoda; Insecta; Lepidoptera; Pyralidae
Product: small nucleolar RNA psi28S-1192
Exons: 1
Source: RefSeq, a predicted model, not a curated record
GCUAUGUCUGUUCUAAUACUAGGGGAUGUACAAUUACUCUUCUAGCUUCGCUUUCAGACAAAAACAAAGUCUUCAAAUUUAUCCUAAUGUGACCAUUCCAAUGUGAAUCUUGCAUUGGCAUUUUGAAGAUACAUUU